RNAcentral lists this long non-coding RNA (201 nucleotides) under Musa acuminata (dwarf banana). Its description in RNAcentral is "long non-coding RNA (MACU_LNC010790)". The record is from RNAcentral. Lineage: Eukaryota; Viridiplantae; Streptophyta; Magnoliopsida; Zingiberales; Musaceae.
UACUCAAACCCGCAAACGAUAAAAGUUGGAGGCCUUCUCAAACAACAGCCGAUCACUGUUCUCAUCGACACAGGCAGCACUAAUAACUUCCUGAAUAGUAAGGUUGCUGCUCGGAUGGCACUACAUAUUGAAGGUUGCAGCAAGUUCGAUGUAAAGGUUGCCGACGGCAAAAUCCUAAAGUGCGACCAAAGAUGCCCGCAG